RNAcentral lists this ribosomal RNA (534 nucleotides) under uncultured fungus. RNAcentral's name for it is "eukaryotic LSU rRNA". The stretch from base 219 to 373 matches the Rfam family "5.8S ribosomal RNA". The record is from RNAcentral. Lineage: Eukaryota; Fungi.
GCGGAAGGAUCAUUACUGAAUGGUCAAACAUGGGUUGUUGCUGGCCUCCCAAAUAGGGGCAUGUGCACGCUCUGUUUACACAUCCACUCACACCUGUGCACCCUCUGUAGUUUUAUGGUUCGGGAGACCCCGUCUUCCUGCUGUAGCUCUACGUCUUUACACACACGCCGUAGCGAUGUCCUGUGGAAUGUUUUUCUGCGUUUAACGCAAUACAAUACAACUUUCAGCAACGGAUCUCUUGGCUCUCGCAUCGAUGAAGAACGCAGCGAAAUGCGAUAAGUAAUGUGAAUUGCAGAAUUCAGUGAAUCAUCGAAUCUUUGAACGCACCUUGCGCCCCUUGGUUAUUCCGAGGGGCAUGCCUGUUUGAGUAUCAUGAACACCUCAACUCUCAUGGUCUUCCAUGACGAGCUUGGAUUUUGGGGGUUUGCUGGCCCUGUGGCCGGCUCCUCUCAAAUGAAUCAGCCUGCCAGUGUUUGGUGGCAUCACGGGUGUGAUAACUAUCUACGCUCGCCGUUGUCUGCCAGGUAACCCUCA